RNAcentral lists this ribosomal RNA (381 nucleotides) under uncultured eukaryote. Its description in RNAcentral is "partial 18S ribosomal RNA". It matches the Rfam family "Eukaryotic small subunit ribosomal RNA", at positions 592 to 976 of the family's 1831-position model. The record is from RNAcentral.
CAAUAGCGUAUAUUAAAGUUGUUGCGGUAAAAAAGCUCGUAGUUGGAUUUCUACCGAAGAUAGCCGGUCGGGUCUUCGACCUUGUAUCUGGUUUUGUCUUUGGUAUCCUCAUAGGGAACGUUUCUGCGCUUUAUUGCGUGGUGCGGUAUCUAUGACUUUUACUUUGAGGAAAUUAGAGUGUUCACGGCAGGCAAACGCCUUGAAUAUAUUAGCAUGGAAUAAUAACAUAGGAUCUUCGUCCUAUUUUGUUGGUUUCUAGGGCUAAGAUAAUGAUUAAUAGGGAUAAUUGGGGGCAUCUAUAUCAACGCGUCAGAGGUGGAAUUCUUGGAUUGCGUUGCGACAAACUACUGCGAAAGCAUUUGCCAAGGAUGUUUUCAUUGA